Molecule: ribosomal RNA, 472 nt
Filed under: uncultured bacterium
Lineage: Bacteria
Description: bacterial SSU rRNA
Rfam family: Bacterial small subunit ribosomal RNA
Source: RNAcentral
CGCUGACACUCCUACGGGAGGCAGCAGUGGGGAAUAUUGCACAAUGGGGGAAACCCUGAUGCAGCCAUGCCGCGUGUGUGAAGAAGGCCUUCGGGUUGUAAAGCACUUUCAGUAGGGAGGAAGGUAGUGUAGUUAACACCUGCAUUAUUUGACGUUACCUACAGAAGAAGCACCGGCUAACUCCGUGCCAGCAGCCGCGGUAAUACGGAGGGUGCGAGCGUUAAUCGGAAUUACUGGGCGUAAAGCGCAUGCAGGCGGCCUGUUAAGUCAGAUGUGAAAGCCCGGGGCUUAACCUCGGAAUUGCAUUUGAAACUGGCAGGCUAGAGUCUUGUAGAGGGGGUAGAAUUUCAGGUGUAGCGGUGAAAUGCGUAGAGAUCUGAAGGAAUACCAGUGGCGAAGGCGGCCCCCUGGACAAAGACUGACGCUCAGAUGCGAAAGCGUGGGGAGCAAACAGGAUUAGAUACCCUGGUAG